CCCCUCCCGUCCCCGCCACAUGAGCGCCGCCGCCCCUCAGAUCUGCACCCCUCUCCUCAAGCUCGCUCCUCUCUCCUUCCCCCCUAAGAUCUGCGCGCAGCUCCCUCCGCCUUCUCCUCCGCUGUCCUCCGGUGCAGCGUCGCCUUGUUCCUCACAUGGCUCGGCACAUUCAAGGUCGGUCUCCUUGCUGCCGGCCGCGGGCCGCUUGACCCGGCCUCCCCCACGCUCCACUUCGUCCUUGCUAUAGCCCUCCCCAUCAAGCUCACAAGCGCCGGGGCCCGGUCUCCCAGAGCAGCGCCGGCGGUCGCCACGCGGUCCAAGGCCGAGCAGGCGGAGUCUCUUGUAUCCUGCGAGCUCAUGGUCGUUGUCAGUACUUCCGUGCUCCUUUCAACCGCCGAAAAUGCCUGGCCGGGUUGCAUCUCUUCGCGCGCGUCGCGCUGUGCGACUCGUGCUAUUCUCCAAAGCUCGUCGUAGCUGCAGAGAUUUAUUUUCUGUAUGUUGCUCAGUUCUAUUUUCUGGUUUGCCUCAUGUUAAAUUUGACAACAAUAGAUAUUUUUUUGUAGGAAGGGAGAUCUAUUAUGGAGGAAGCAUUGUGGCAUUGCCUACGAAAACAGCUGGAUAAUAGAGUUUACAUCCCCUUCUUCAAGGUUGUCACUGAUUAACAAGUGCAAUUUGCAUCCAAUCCCCUUCCUGAGAGCUGUCGGCAGCUUAGUCUGUGUGCUUUCUCGUGGCAAACUCCCAGUGCUCUGGCGUCCUGGAACUAGGCGAUCUCAUCCAUACCCCAAUUAAUCACCACAUGGUUGCAUUACUACCAAGAAGCUUGGAACUAAGCAAAGCUGCAGGGCAUGAUCUAGAUUGAUGCAGGAUGUACACAUGUAAUGUUUAUGUUGGAUGGAAUGUUGAGUUUGUAAUUGAUGUGGUAAAGAUGUUAUUGAGAUCUGAUAUGUAUCAGCCUGUGGUAAAUUAGAAACUGAGUUAUUGUUCAAUUUGAUGUGUCAAAAAAAAUUACAAUCAUUUUUGUAUGGGAAUUAUAGCUUGUUUUUGUUGGCUAUAA
Long non-coding RNA from Panicum virgatum (switchgrass), 1054 nucleotides. RefSeq lists it as uncharacterized. Lineage: Eukaryota; Viridiplantae; Streptophyta; Magnoliopsida; Poales; Poaceae. The transcript has 3 exons. The record is from RefSeq and is a predicted model, not a curated record.